This 489-nucleotide ribosomal RNA is filed under the name uncultured bacterium. RNAcentral's name for it is "partial 16S ribosomal RNA". It matches the Rfam family "Bacterial small subunit ribosomal RNA", at positions 29 to 507 of the family's 1533-position model. The record is from RNAcentral.
AGUGAACGCUGGCGGUAGGCCUAACACAUGCAAGUCGAACGGCAGCACAGGAGAGCUUGCUCUCUGGGUGGCGAGUGGCGGACGGGUGAGGAAUACAUCGGAAUCUGCCCAGUCGUGGGGGAUAACGUAGGGAAACUUACGCUAAUACCGCAUACGACCUUCGGGUGAAAGAGGGGGAUCGCAAGACCUCUCGCGAUUGGAUGAGCCGAUGUCGGAUUAGCUAGUUGGCGGGGUAAUGGCCCACCAAGGCGACGAUCCGUAGCUGGUCUGAGAGGAUGAUCAGCCACACUGGAACUGAGACACGGUCCAGACUCCUACGGGAGGCAGCAGUGGGGAAUAUUGGACAAUGGGCGCAAGCCUGAUCCAGCCAUACCGCGUGGGUAAGAAGGCCUUCGGGUUGUGAAGCCCUUUUGUUGGGAAAGAAAUCUUUCAGGCUAAUACCCUGGGAGGAUGACGGUACCCAAAGAAUAAGCACCGGCUAACUUCGUG